Molecule: transfer RNA, 74 nt
Filed under: Actinostachys digitata
Lineage: Eukaryota; Viridiplantae; Streptophyta; Polypodiopsida; Schizaeales; Schizaeaceae
Also listed under: 7 other names
Description: tRNA-Arg
Rfam family: tRNA
About the family: Transfer RNA (tRNA) molecules are approximately 80 nucleotides in length. Their secondary structure includes four short double-helical elements and three loops (D, anti-codon, and T loops).
Source: RNAcentral
GGGCCUGUAGCUCAGCGGAUAAGAGCACGUGGCUACGAACCACGGUGUCGGGGGUUCGAAUCCCUCCUCGCCCA